CGGGCGUGGAUUAGGCAUGCAAGUCGAACGAGAAUCUGGAGGUUCAAGUUUCGGACAAGAACUUUACGGAGGAAAGUGGCGGAAGGGUGAGUACAACAUGGAUAAUCUACCUUCAAGUUGGGUAUAGCUUCCCGAAAGGGGAGAUAAUCCCGAAUGUGGUGAUCCGGCGCCUGUCGGAGAAUCCAAAGGUGGGGACCGCAAGGCCUGCCGCUUGAAGAUGAGUCCGUGCACUAUCAGCUAGUUGGUGAGGUAAGAGCUCACCAAGGCGAUGAUAGAUAGGCGGCCUUAACGGGUGGUCGCCCACACUGGGAUUGAGAUACGGCCCAGACUCCUACGGGAGGCAGCAGUCGAGAAUAGUCUACAAUGGCCGGAAGGCUGAUAGUGCGACGCCGCGUGAACGAGGGAGCCCUUCGGGGUGUAAAGUUCUUUUCUAUACGAGCAGUGCUAUAUAUAUGGAUAGUAUAUAUAGAGGGAUAGUAGUAUAGGAAUAAGCAACGGCUAACUCCGUG
Molecule: ribosomal RNA, 509 nt
Filed under: uncultured bacterium
Lineage: Bacteria
Description: bacterial SSU rRNA
Rfam family: Bacterial small subunit ribosomal RNA
Source: RNAcentral